This 206-nucleotide ribosomal RNA is filed under the name uncultured bacterium. Its description in RNAcentral is "partial 16S ribosomal RNA". It matches the Rfam family "Bacterial small subunit ribosomal RNA", at positions 568 to 774 of the family's 1533-position model. The record is from RNAcentral.
AGCGUAGACGGUGUGGCAAGUCUGAUGUGAAAGGCAUGGGCUCAACCUGUGGACUGCAUUGGAAACUGUCAUACUUGAGUGCCGGAGGGGUAAGCGGAAUUCCUAGUGUAGCGGUGAAAUGCGUAGAUAUUAGGAGGAACACCAGUGGCGAAGGCGGCCUAUUGGGCACCAACUGACGCUGAGGCUGAAAGUGUGGGUAGCAAACA